GAUGAAGAACGUAGUGAAAUGCGAUAAGUAAUGUGAAUUGCAGAAUUCAGUGAAUCAUCGAAUCUUUGAACGCACAUUGCGCCCCCUGGUAUUCCGGGGGGCAUGCCUGUCCGAGCGUCAUUACAACCCUCAAGCUCAGCUUGGUGUUGGGCCCCGCCGCCCCGGCGGGCCCUAAAGUCAGUGGCGGUGCCGUCCGGCUCCGAGCGUAGUAAUUCUUCUCGCUCUGGAGGUCCGGUCGUGUGCUUGCCAGCAACCCCCAAUUUUUUUCAGGUUGACCUCGGAUCAGGUAGGGAUACCCGCUGAACUUAAGCAUAUCAAUAGCGGAGGA
This 328-nucleotide unclassified non-coding RNA is filed under the name soil metagenome. RNAcentral describes it as "partial contains 5.8S ribosomal RNA, internal transcribed spacer 2, and large subunit ribosomal RNA". The stretch from base 1 to 120 matches the Rfam family "5.8S ribosomal RNA", at positions 35 to 154 of the family's 154-position model. The record is from RNAcentral.